Long non-coding RNA from Ixodes scapularis (black-legged tick), 382 nucleotides. RefSeq lists it as uncharacterized. Lineage: Eukaryota; Metazoa; Arthropoda; Arachnida; Ixodida; Ixodidae. The transcript is spliced from 2 exons. The record is from RefSeq and is a predicted model, not a curated record.
GUGGAAAUGGGCACCUAAGAGCUGCACUCUAAACCAGUUUUUCUCUGUUGCCGGUGCACAAGCAGGUAAUGUGCAUCCAACGUUCCACUGGAUCUGUCCGAAGGGCAGGCUGAUACUGCGGCAGACGCCACUGAGCGGACACACUGCAAAAAGGCGUCGGCCGUUUUCCGAAGUUUGUCAACUGACCUAGAUCUGAGAACGUUGGUACAUGUAUUGCUACCGUUGCCAAGCAGGACUGGAGAUUGUUAGAGUGUGAACAAUGUUCACACUUUGGUCAAUGCAAGCACAUCUUUUUUUUUUUUAGUAAUAUUGACUAACAAGAUUGCAGCAAUCAAACAAGUUAACACCGAAAUGUUAAAAGCAAUAAAGAAAUUAAAGCCCG